CCUACGGGUGGCAGCAGUCGGGAAUAUUGCGCAAUGGAGGAAACUCUGACGCAGUGACGCCGCGUAUAGGAAGAAGUUUUUCGGAAUGUAAACUAUUGUCGUUAGGGAAGAGAAAGGACAGUACCUAAGGAGGAAGCUCCGGCUAACUACGUGCCAGCAGCCGCGGUAAUACGUAGGGAGCGAGCGUUAUCCGGAAUUAUUGGGUGUAAAGGGUGCGUAGACGGGAAAACAAGUUAGUUGUGAAAUCCCUCGGCUUAACUGAGGAACUGCAACUAAAACUAUUUUUCUUGAGUGCAGGAGAGGUAAGUGGAAUUCCUAGUGUAGCGGUGAAAUGCGUAGAUAUCGAGAGGAACACUCGUGGCGAAGGCGGGUUCCUGGACAUUAACUGACGCUGAGGCACGAAGGCCAGGGGAGCGAAAGGGAUUAGAUACCCCUGUAGUC
Molecule: ribosomal RNA, 441 nt
Filed under: uncultured bacterium
Lineage: Bacteria
Description: partial 16S ribosomal RNA
Rfam family: Bacterial small subunit ribosomal RNA
Source: RNAcentral